AAUAGGAAAAUAACAAAUCAGAUUUUUCUUCCUGAUUUUUAGCUUUUUUUUUCCUCAAAAAAUUCAAAUCCAAUUAAAAAUGUUAAAAAUCAGGAGGAAAAAUCUGAUUUAUCAUUUUCCUAUU
Gossypium raimondii (Peruvian cotton) is the source of this 124-nucleotide non-coding RNA. The record is from Rfam. NCBI's taxonomy places the organism in Eukaryota, Viridiplantae, Streptophyta, Magnoliopsida, Malvales, Malvaceae.